Molecule: long non-coding RNA, 1455 nt
Organism: Hydractinia symbiolongicarpus
Lineage: Eukaryota; Metazoa; Cnidaria; Hydrozoa; Anthoathecata; Hydractiniidae
Exons: 2
Source: RefSeq, a predicted model, not a curated record
UUUUUGAAUUUUUGAGUUAUCAUUCAUCGACCAACUGACUCUAUUUUUGUGUUCAAAUGACUCAACACCAGAUAUUUUUGACGUCUGCCUUACGGAGAUACAUUUGUGAGGCUAGCCAUGUAAAAUACGCACAUCUAGCUAUCUAUCUAUUUGAUGACACGGCUGUUUCGCUACGGUCAAACCGCGGACAAAAUUAAAAUGGCUUCCACAAUUUUUUUUGAAAUUUUGUAUUUUUAUCAUUUUUUAAGUUUUUGAAACUUUUUUUGUAUUGUUUUAAUUUUAUUGAAAUAAAAAGUAUUAAAACGACCUACUUUUCUACUUUUUUAAUAUAUAAAUAUGUUAUACAUGUGUGUUAUGGAUUUCGAGUUAUUUCGUCGAAUAAAACACACAAAAUUAAAAAAAACAUUAUUUUUGGCGAAAGUAUACCAUCUUUCCAACCUCGUGGCAACGCCGCGCUACUAGCUACGGACUUGACAGUUGGUAUGGGGGGCCUGGAAACAAGGUUCUAUCGCCCAGUACCGUGCACCGUUCGUCUCACAAACUAUAAACUACUUAAAUUUUAAGUUAAAGUCUUCUUCAGGCGCUAAAAAAGAGAAGAAAAAGUUUCCAAAGUGGUGCACGGGAAUUUGGUUAGUGUGAUCCCUUUUCUGUCUAAUUAAAUAAGUAUCUAAACUUCUAAGAGAGUCAUAGCGAUGCCAUUUAAUGUUUUGUUAGGUAUGGUUUUUCUCAAAAAAAUUACGGCGGCGUGGUGUUUACCUUGGACUUGAUUGCUCGACCCGGGAAUCCUGGUUCGAAACCGGAAUUUUUCGAAAAUGUUGGAAUAAGCGAGACAACGGUGUCUUUGCAAUUUUUUAGCUAGCUAAAGUUUGGCAGAGCACGAGUUAAGACUUUGGUGGGCUUUCUCAAGAUGAAAUUGUUGAAUUCAAAGAUGUUUUUAGCUACCUAGCUAGCUAAUCUUGGCUUUAACACAAGAUUGGGUGCUAUUUUAUACAGUUUAUAAAGAAACACAAAAUGAUUGCUUUGUAUAUAUAUAAUAAAUAAAAUAUUUAUGCACAACUUGAGGUAUUUUCUUCUAGCAUGAUAAACUAAAAUGUUGAAACCGUCGACUCUGAAUGAUGUUUUAUUUAAUAUAUAGAUGUCACAUAUUUGGCCUGAAAAACCUUAGGACCAAAAGUGACCCUUUGGACAAUUUCGGACAGUUUAAUAUUUCAUCUACAUCAUCUUUAAUGGCCUCAGAAUCCAAAGUAAUGUCUUUUAUUUAGUUAAUAAACAAACUUUAAGCAUACAUUAAGGCUCCAUAGGCUGUUUUUCACAUAUUUCACACAUUUGGCCCAAAAAUAACCCUUUGGACAAUUUCGGACAGACUAAUAUUUCAUCUACAUCAUCCUUAAUGGUCUUAGAAUCCAAAGCAAUGUUUUUUAUUCAGUUAAUAAAUAAACUUUAAGCAUAUAUUAA